GCCGCCCUAGCUCAGUUGGUAGAGCGGCACAUUCGUAACGUGCAGGUCGCGAGUUCAAUCCUCGCGGGCGGCU
Molecule: transfer RNA, 73 nt
Filed under: Candidatus Magasanikiibacteriota bacterium
Lineage: Bacteria; Candidatus Magasanikiibacteriota
Description: tRNA-Thr
Rfam family: tRNA
About the family: Transfer RNA (tRNA) molecules are approximately 80 nucleotides in length.
Source: RNAcentral